CUUCCGCUGCCUCACCUUUGAGAGAACCAGCACAGGGGGUUUUCUCCAACAUUCAGGACCAAGGGAACAGGGGUCCAUUCCUGAGAAAUAAGAAAGAAUCAGAGCAGACAAAUUCAAGGAAGCAGCUCCAAAUGUUUGCCACUUCAGAAACCCAGCAGGAGCCAGCAGACAAGGAUGCUGAUGACAUGAGCAGAGAGAGACACUAAUGAAAUUAUUUUUCCUUCUCCAUGAAAGCAAGGAUUUUGCUGUUUUGUUCACUACUCCAUCCCCAGCAGCUACAAUUCAACAAAUGUGUGAAUUAAAGAAUGAACAGACGGGGAACAGCUGGUGUCUCAAACAGGGCAGGAAGACACCACCAUGGAUGCAAAGGACAGCUUCAUCAGUGAGCUGGGAUGUGGUCUUAAACCCAAGGAAAUCUAAAGGAGAGUUUAUGAACCCAAGUAUAAGAAGAAGAGAAUGCCGGCAUAUUUAGAAGUAAACAGGAUAUGCAGACAUAGGGGUGUAGUUUAGACACAGUUGUAAUUGGUAACACAAAGAUAGACUGAAGGCUCCAGGCUGCAGAAACAGCCCUGGGGAUCUGCUCUGGGAACACUGAGUGAGUCCUCUGAGCCUGCGUGCUCCCCAUCCUCUGUUCCAUAACAGACAAACUCAAGUCACGACCAGAUCUCAUUUGCUCAGUUUCAAGGAAUCUUAAUUUUAGACUUGACCUGGAUAGGUUUCUACGGAUAUAUGAUUUUUUUUAAUUAUAUAAUUUCAAAAUUCUGUU
Molecule: long non-coding RNA, 766 nt
Filed under: Equus caballus (horse)
Lineage: Eukaryota; Metazoa; Chordata; Mammalia; Perissodactyla; Equidae
Description: lncRNA (ENSECAG00000050466.1)
Source: RNAcentral